RNAcentral lists this ribosomal RNA (241 nucleotides) under Paenibacillus polymyxa. Its description in RNAcentral is "partial 16S ribosomal RNA". It matches the Rfam family "Bacterial small subunit ribosomal RNA", at positions 1191 to 1429 of the family's 1533-position model. The record is from RNAcentral. Lineage: Bacteria; Bacillati; Bacillota; Bacilli; Caryophanales; Paenibacillaceae.
CAUCAUGCCCCUUAUGACCUGGGCUACACACGUAUUACAAUGGCCGGUACAACGGGAAGCGAAGUCGCGAGGUGGAGCCAAUCCUAGAAAAGCCGGUCUCAGUUCGGAUUGUAGGCUGCAACUCGCCUACAUGAAGUCGGAAUUGCUAGUAAUCGCGGAUCAGCAUGCCGCGGUGAAUACGUUCCCGGGUCUUGUACACACCGCCCGUCACACCAAGGGGAGUUUACAACACCCGAAGUCG